CCGCCUACAGGGGAAAGAGCACAGAUCUAAAACAAAAACAUAAAAAUAUUUAAACAUUUAAAAAACAACCAUCUCGUCAAGGCAACAUUUGUCAUUUUUAUUUAGUUUAUCAUAAUCUACUAAAAUAACUAAAACUGAAAUACAAAUAUUAAAAACUGUAUAUUAGUAAUUAGUUAAAACACAACAAAAUUACUAAAACAUUACUAUUAAAAGGAAAAACAGAAAAAGUAUACAAUUUUUAGAUCGUAAUAUACUAAAAUUACAUGUUUGAAAGAAUAUAAUAUAUAUAUUGUUAAGUUGUUUCCUUAUAAAACGUAGUAUUGAAUACAGCAGGAGAAUCCUAAAAAUAUUUCUAAAAAGUGAUGUGAGACACUGAAAACAGCUAUAUAUUCUUGUUAUAUAGUCUUUUUAAUUAACAUAAUUUAUAUAAUAUUUUAUAUUACAAUAUGUAUUAUUUUAAUAUUAUAAAACUAAAUAAUUUUUAGUAUUAAUAUUUUAAUCCAUCAUUCAAUUAAUAUCUUGAAUAUAUAAACACUUAGUCUAUGUCUAGAUAUGAACACCAACAAUUAAAAAUGUUAUAAAAAUAUUAUUGUAGUGAUGCAACGUUUCUACAGCACACACACACACACAUUAGUGCUGUUACAUGAUUAAUCACGAUUAAUCGCAUCCAAAAUAAGUUUUUGUUUACAUAAUAUAUAUUAUGUGUAUAUAUAGACACACUCAUAUAGUAUAUAUUACAAACAGUAAAUAUCUAAAUAUAUUUAAUAUAAACUUUUUCCUUAAAUAUAUACAUGCAUGUGUGUCAAAUUAUAAUUGCAUUAUUUUAUACUUGUAUCCAUUCUAACCAUGUCUACAGCCUAAAAAUAUCACGUAUGUCACAAAUCACACAUCUUUGCAAACACUCACCAGCUGGAGCUGCUCCUCAUUACCAACAAUUACUAAAGAAAGUCUCGCUGAUCGCCCGCUCACUGCCUACAGAGAGAGAGAGAGAGAGUGUGUGUGUGUUAUUAUCAUGUCUGUGAACGCGUCAUGAGUUUGAGAUCGUGAUGUGAUGAGUGUCGCAGUGACCCUCCUCAGAGGUCAGAGUUGUUCUGGCGGUUAGGAUCUGUUGUUUCCUCUGAAGGUGUGUGUGUGUGUGUGUGUGUGUGUGCAGGAGGAACAGAUGUGUCUCUGUGGGAUCGUCCGGGAAUCCUAGCAGCAUCUUUGCAUAACCAAAUGUUGGCAGUGUUGAACUCAUCGAAGCCACAACAAAACAUGGAGCGCUGCCAGACACACAGCUUGUGUGUGUGUGUGUGUGUGUGAGAGAGAGAGAGAGUGCAUGAGUGUUUCAAGUUGAAGUUGAGCUUUAUACUCAUUCUUCUACAUGUGUGGACAUAAAGUAUCACAGGACCACGGUGCGACAUAAAUACAGACACACAACAAUGAAGUAAAACAGAAUAAACCUAUACACAACUAACCUACUGACAGAUUUUGAUUAUAAAUAUACUAUAUAUAAAUGAUUACCUAUACAUAGACUGUGUGUGUGUAUGUGUCAGUGUGUGUGUGUCUGUGUCUGUGUGUGUGAAGGAGCUGAGAUCAGAGUGCAGGACAGUGUAUUAUUCUGCAGCAUAUGUGUUGUGAGUGUGUUUAAUGCAUGAGCGGGGUCUAAUCUGCUCAGUAACAGAGGAUCUAGUGUUGGUCUGUCUGUUUGUUUACUGCAGCAUGUUUGGUUUCAGUCUGUUAAGUCUUUAAAAGUGCUCAAGAGGCUUUAAACUGCAUGCCUUUAAAAGACCAUCGACAGACCCGCUGGACACACAGAACUCGCUCGGAGUGAGAUUUACUCAUUAACACUAACGACACACUUCUAACUCUCCCAUGCACAUGUGUUUCUGACCCUAACAGUCAUUCAUACUCAUGCAUUGGUAGAUGCUUUUAUCCAAAGCAACUCACAUUGCAUGCACCGUUUCUUUUUUAUUUUCAUGUAAAGUUCAUGCAAUCCUCGCACUGUUUCAGCAUUAGUAAUAUAAGAACUAAAAGUGAUAUAAUAGGCAUAUUAAAACUAAUUACUAUAAAACUAAAUCUAUUAAAAUAAAAAUCUUUAAGUUAAACAAAUUCCAACUGAAAUAAUAUAUGUAUUUAAACUUUUAUUUAUUUUUGCCAAG
RNAcentral lists this long non-coding RNA (2141 nucleotides) under Carassius auratus (goldfish). Its description in RNAcentral is "lncRNA (ENSCARG00000059072.1)". The record is from RNAcentral. Lineage: Eukaryota; Metazoa; Chordata; Actinopteri; Cypriniformes; Cyprinidae.